This 697-nucleotide long non-coding RNA is filed under the name Triticum aestivum (bread wheat). RNAcentral's name for it is "long non-coding RNA (TAES_LNC018382)". Lineage: Eukaryota; Viridiplantae; Streptophyta; Magnoliopsida; Poales; Poaceae. The record is from RNAcentral.
CCCUUCUAACCCCAACCCCAGCAGAUAGACACCCAGCUCCCGUUGACACAGCACCGUCUCCACCACAGAGCACCCAAACACGAGCAGUUAGUACGGCAACUGCAGUGCCCAAAUCACGGGGACCACCACUCCGAACCCGAAGUCAACGCUUAAAGGAGAAGAAGAAUUGUUCUCAGGUCAGGUUCCGUAGCUAUGGUUCAUACUAAUUUGCUCUUGCAUCACUGUAUUUACUGAUACCAACUAAUUUCAAAUUUGCAGGAUGCAAUUGAAACUCCAAUGGCGCAACAGGUAUGUUUUAAACCUGUUUCUUCAACGUGUUUGGUUGUUUGCUGUUGUAACUUGCUCUAUGUUGAUUUCAGUUUCAAUUGAAUAAACAGUUAUGUUCUCAUGCCAUGCACAUUACAAGUGAUGUUAUUGCCGUGUAGUUUCCCACACUUAUAUUCUGUCUAUCCUGCUUUGUCUUAAAUAGAUAUGAUUCGAACUAUAUCUAUCUUGAUUUGGCAACAUAAACUAGAAUGAUAUAGACCAUACAGUGACCAUACUACAUAGAUAUAUGUUUGUUUCAUGCUGUUAUCCUGUCCACCUUACUACUGAACUGGUUUACCAAAAUGAGUUUCAUAUACUACAUUGUAAACCGGAGAUGUGUUUGUUUGUUUCUCUUUUAGAACGCGGAUAAAAUAUUGGAGAAGAGUACCCU